AUCACCUGGGGUCUUGUUAAAAUACACAUUCUGAUUCAGUAGGUCUGGAGUGGAGCCUGAGAUUGUGCAUUUCUAACAAGCUCCCAGGUGAUACUGG
Molecule: microRNA precursor, 97 nt
Filed under: Loxodonta africana (African savanna elephant)
Lineage: Eukaryota; Metazoa; Chordata; Mammalia; Proboscidea; Elephantidae
Description: mir-544 microRNA precursor family
Rfam family: mir-544 microRNA precursor family
Source: Rfam by way of RNAcentral